This 478-nucleotide ribosomal RNA is filed under the name uncultured bacterium. Its description in RNAcentral is "bacterial SSU rRNA". It matches the Rfam family "Bacterial small subunit ribosomal RNA", at positions 67 to 524 of the family's 1533-position model. The record is from RNAcentral.
CGCGAAACGUGGAGCAAUCCAUGAGUAGAGUGGCAAACGGGUGAGUAACACGUGGGUGACCUGCCUUCGAGCGGGGGAUAACGUCCCGAAAGGGACGCUAAUACCGCAUGACAUCCUGUCUUUUAACAGAUGGAGAUCAAAGCCGGGGAUCGCAAGACCUGGCACUCGAAGAGGGGCCCGCGCCUGAUUAGCUAGUUGGUGAGGUAAUGGCUCACCAAGGCGACGAUCAGUAUCCGGCCUGAGAGGGCGGACGGACACACUGGGACUGAGACACGGCCCAGACUCCUACGGGAGGCAGCAGUGGGGAAUUUUGGACAAUGGGGGAAACCCUGAUCCAGCCAUUCCGCGUGAGUGAAGAAGGCCUUCGGGUUGUAAAGCUCUUUUGUCCGGAACGAAACGGGUAGCGUGAAUAUCGCUGCCUACUGACGGUACCGGAAGAAUAAGCACCGGCUAACUACGUGCCAGCAGCCGCGGUAAU